RNAcentral lists this ribosomal RNA (253 nucleotides) under uncultured bacterium. RNAcentral's name for it is "partial 16S ribosomal RNA". It matches the Rfam family "Bacterial small subunit ribosomal RNA", at positions 524 to 776 of the family's 1533-position model. The record is from RNAcentral.
UACAGAGGUCUCAACCGUUGUUCGGAUUCAUUGGGCGUAAAGGGUGCGUAGGCUGCGGGGUAAGUCAGGUGUGAAAUCUCGGGGCUCAACCCCGAAACUGCACUUGAUACUGCUUUGCUUGAGUACUGGAGAGGAGACUGGAAUUUACGGUGUAGCAGUGAAAUGCGUAGAUAUCGUAAGGAAGACCAGUGGCGAAGGCGAGUCUCUGGACAGUUACUGACGCUGAGGCACGAAGGCCAGGGGAGCAAACGGG